GAAUUCGCCCUUAGAGUUUGAUUCUGGCUCAGGAUAAACGCUGGCGGCGUGCAUAACACAUUCAAGUCGAACGGACUUUAUGGAAAAGCUUGCUUGGAAAUAAAGUUAGUGGCGGACGGGUGAGUAACGCGUGAGCAACCUGCCUAUCAGUGGGGAAUAACGUUUGGAAACGAACGCUAAUACCGCAUAGUCGAAGAUAUCGCAUGAUGACUUCGGGAAAGGAGCGAUCCGCAACGAGAUGGGCUCGCGUCUGAUUAGAUAGUUGGUGAGGUAACGGCUCACCAAGUCAACGAUCAGUAGCCGGACUGAGAGGUUGAACGGCCACAUUGGAACUGAGAUACGGUCCAGACUCCUACGGGAGGCAGCAGUGGGGAAUAUUGGGCAAUGGGCGAAAGCCUGACCCAGCGACGCCGCGUGAAGGAAGAAGGUCUUCGGAUUGUAAACUUUAGUCAACAGGGACGAACAGAUGACGGUACCUGUGGAGGAAGCCACGGCUAACUACGUGCCAGCAGCCGCGGUAAUACGUAGGUGGCGAGCGUUAUCCGGAUUUACUGGGUGUAAAGGGUGAGUAGGCGGGUCUGCAAGUCAGAUGUGAAAACUUGGAGCUUAACUCCAAGCCUGCAUUUGAAACUGUGGAUCUUGAGAGUCGGAGAGGUAAUCGGAAUUCCCGGUGUAGCGGUGAAAUGCGUAGAUAUCGGGAGGAACAUCAGUGGCGAAGGCGGAUUACUGGACGACAACUGACGCUGAGACACGAAAGCGUGGGGAGCAAACAGGAUUAGAUACCCUGGUAGUCCACGCCGUAAACGA
RNAcentral lists this ribosomal RNA (807 nucleotides) under uncultured bacterium. RNAcentral's name for it is "bacterial SSU rRNA". It matches the Rfam family "Bacterial small subunit ribosomal RNA", at positions 1 to 809 of the family's 1533-position model. The record is from RNAcentral.